RNAcentral lists this small RNA (183 nucleotides) under Marmota monax (woodchuck). Lineage: Eukaryota; Metazoa; Chordata; Mammalia; Rodentia; Sciuridae. The record is from RNAcentral.
AGGAAAUGUAAAAUUGACAACUCUGAGUAUACCAAAAAACAUUGAAUUGUACAUUUUAAAUAGAUGUAUUUUAUGUUAUGUGGAUUAUAUCUCAAGUUGUUGGUGUGUGUGUGUGUGUGUGUGUGUGUGUGGAGUGGUGGGGGUCAAACCCAGAGCCUCAUGCAUGCCAGGCAAGUACUCCUC